UGAGCCAAGUUUAGGGUUUUCUCAAAACCCAAGCAGUAUUGAACUGAAGAGUUUGAUCAUGGCUCAGAUUGAACGCUGGCGGCAGGCCUAACACAUGCAAGUCGAGCGGAUGAAGGGAGCUUGCUCCUGGAUUCAGCGGCGGACGGGUGAGUAAUGCCUAGGA
This 163-nucleotide ribosomal RNA is filed under the name Pseudomonas aeruginosa. RNAcentral's name for it is "partial 16S ribosomal RNA". The stretch from base 41 to 163 matches the Rfam family "Bacterial small subunit ribosomal RNA", at positions 1 to 122 of the family's 1533-position model. Lineage: Bacteria; Pseudomonadati; Pseudomonadota; Gammaproteobacteria; Pseudomonadales; Pseudomonadaceae. The record is from RNAcentral.